GACGAACGCUGGCGGCGUGCUUAACACAUGCAAGUCGAACGGAAAGGCCCUGCUUUUGUGGGGUGCUCGAGUGGCGAACGGGUGAGUAACACGCGAGUAACCUGCCCCUGACUUUGGGAUAACUUCAGGAAACUGGGGCUCAUACCGGAUAGGAGCUCCUGCUGCACGGUGGGGGUUGGAAAGAUUCGGCGGUUGGGGAUGGACUCGCGGCUUAUCAGCUUGUUGGUGGGGUAGUGGCUUACCAAGGCUUUGACGGGUAGCCGGCCUGAGAGGGUGACCGGCCACAUUGGGACUGAGGUACGGCCCAGACUCCUACGGGAGGCAGCAGUGGGGAAUAUUGCACAGUGGGCGGAAGCCUGAUGCAGCAACGCCGCGUGCGGGAUGACGGCCUUCGGGUUGUAAACCGCUUUCGCCUGUGACGAAGCGUGAGUGACGGUAAUGGGUAAAGAAGCACCGGCUAACUACGUG
This 468-nucleotide ribosomal RNA is filed under the name uncultured bacterium. RNAcentral describes it as "partial 16S ribosomal RNA". It matches the Rfam family "Bacterial small subunit ribosomal RNA", at positions 28 to 507 of the family's 1533-position model. The record is from RNAcentral.